Molecule: transfer RNA, 82 nt
Filed under: Chloroflexota bacterium
Lineage: Bacteria; Bacillati; Chloroflexota
Also listed under: 1 other name
Description: Chloroflexi bacterium tRNA-Leu
Rfam family: tRNA
About the family: Transfer RNA (tRNA) molecules are approximately 80 nucleotides in length. Their secondary structure includes four short double-helical elements and three loops (D, anti-codon, and T loops). Further hydrogen bonds mediate the characteristic L-shaped molecular structure. tRNAs have two regions of fundamental functional importance: the anti-codon, which is responsible for specific mRNA codon recognition, and the 3' end, to which the tRNAs corresponding amino acid is attached (by aminoacyl-tRNA synthetases). tRNAs cope with the degeneracy of the genetic code in two manners: having more than one tRNA (with a specific anti-codon) for a particular amino acid; and 'wobble' base-pairing, i.e. permitting non-standard base-pairing at the 3rd anti-codon position.
Source: RNAcentral
GGGGAAGUGCCGGAAUUGGCAGACGGGCCGGACUUAGGAUCCGGUGCCUUCGGGCGUGGGGGUUCGAGUCCCCCCUUCCCCA